This 426-nucleotide ribosomal RNA is filed under the name uncultured prokaryote. Its description in RNAcentral is "bacterial SSU rRNA". It matches the Rfam family "Bacterial small subunit ribosomal RNA", at positions 355 to 796 of the family's 1533-position model. The record is from RNAcentral.
UGGGGAAUUUUCCGCAAUGGGCGCAAGCCUGACGGAGCAAUACCGCGUGAGGGAGGAAGGCUUUUGGGUUGUAAACCUCUUUUCUCAAGGAAGAAGCACUGACGGUACUUGAGGAAUCAGCAUCGGCUAACUCCGUGCCAGCAGCCGCGGUAAUACGGAGGAUGCAAGCGUUAUUCGGAAUCACUGGGCGUAAAGGGCGCGUAGGCGGCUGUUUAAGUCGAGGGUGAAAGCCCGGGGCUCAACCCCGGAACGGCCUUCGAGACUGGGCAGCUCGAGACCGGAAGAGGAGGGUGGAAUACCCAGUGUAGAGGUGAAAUUCGUAGAUAUUGGGUGGAACACCAGUGGCGAAAGCGGCUCUCUGGUCCGGAUCUGACGCUGAGGCGCGAAAGCGUGGGGAGCAAACAGGAUUAGAUACCCCCGUAGUCC